UGAAUAAGUCUCACAAGAUCUGACGAUUUUAUAAGGGGUUUCCCCUUUCACUUGGCUCUUAUUCUCUCUUGUCUGCCAUCAUGUAAGACAUGCCUUUCACCUUCUGCUGUGAUUGUGAGGCCUCCCCAGCCACAUGGAACUGUAAGUCUAUUAAAUCUCUUUUUCUUUAUAAACUACCCAGUCUCAGGUAUGUGUCUAUCAACAGCGGGAGAACAGACUAAUACAUUGCCCCUUCUCUUUUCUCUUCUCAUGGCUGCUGUGUAGUUCAGGCUCUCACCAUCAGCUUCCUUCCUCUUACAAACCCCACACUCCACCCACUCUAUCCUGUCUUCUACAGUGCAAUCAAAGGUUUAAAAAUUAAAAUAUGAACAUGCUCCUUCUACAGCUACAGACCUCCCAUAGCUCCUCACUAUGUAGAAUAAAAUGCAAACUCUUUAGUAUCCUGUUGAAAGCCCUCUGCAGUGUAACCCCAAUGCCCUGCCAACAUCUGUUCUCAGUCACUCUUACCUAGUACCCUACAUUCCAGCCCCACAGAACCCACUCCUCUCCUUCCAUGUCAGGUCCCUUUUUGACUCUGUGACAUUGAAUUUUGUGUUCCCACCUCCUGGAAUGAUCUUCCUUAUAUUCUCUGCCUGGAGAAAACUAACCUCUGGUAUUUUUUUACUUUAUCAACCAUUCCCUGCUAUAUUCCUGUAUUCUCAUAGGACUUACCAUCUCUGUUUUGCAAUUAUUUGUAUGUCAGGCUCUUUAUUGAUACUGUGAGCUUCUGCAGGGCAGGACUGUGUGCUAUGAACUUGCCUCUGUAUCUUCAGUACCUACCUCCAGACAUUCCCACAGUGGGUACCUACUAGACGCAUAAAUGAAUAAAUUUCUUGGUCUACUAGCUGGGACCCUGGGUCUCUACUUUCCUGCCCCAGAGCUUAUAACUCAGCUGUAAGAGCUUCCCUAAGUUAAUGUCAAUUGCCUCUGAUAUCUAGGAGUUUGUUAGUGGACCUCUGCUGCAGACAAUUCUUACUACAGAAACUUGGAAGGGAUUCUUGGGAAUUCAGGUACAAACCCAGCCAGCAACAUCUCUGUUUUCAUCUAUUUCUUGUUCCAAUUUUGGUACUGAACGAGUGAGCCUGAGAAGAAGAGGAUAACCCAGUGGGUGUUACCUGUGGGUCUGGAUGUCGGCUAACAAUGAUGGGGACUGGACCGGGAUCACAGUGACUCAGGAUCGUGUAGACUUCAUUGAGCGUCAGGCAGUGCACAGGGGAAUCACUGAUUUCCACAAUCUCGUCCCCACACCUGUGCAAGCAUCAAUAAGAAGCCAUCAGCCAUGGUUGUAUAGCACCAGAUGCUAAGGAAAGCAGAAGCUUCCAGAACAAUCCCUACUCCACUGCAGAUCUAAGAAGGAGGUACUCUCUGUCCGAGGGUACUAGGACCAAGACAACCACAUGGAACCUGCAGUAUGUGCCACAAACCAGCAGAGCAGCUCAGCAAAUCACCUGCCACCCUCCCGCAGAUAACAGCAAAUCCCUUUCUAAUUCAGAAGCUCCAGAGAGACAGCAUCAUAAGCAGGGAUGGCUUUUCCAUACACUGCAAUUGUAGGAAACCCUUUAAAAGGAUGGCAAAACUCUCCUGAUUUAGGAAAACCCAAAACCAGUGAGAGAUGAUAUAUUUG
This 1663-nucleotide long non-coding RNA is filed under the name Homo sapiens (human). Its description in RNAcentral is "HSALNT0223447". The record is from RNAcentral. Lineage: Eukaryota; Metazoa; Chordata; Mammalia; Primates; Hominidae.